CCGUCGGUCUCUGAGUCCAGGACCGAGCCGUGAUUCAAAGAGCUACCUGGAAGCUUCUCCCGGCGGGGGCGAGCCUUCGGCUGAGAGCAGGGUCACGUUUCUCGAAAGCACCUGCCCGCCGCAGUUUCGGAAAGGAGACUACACCUCGCGACACCGACGGCAAGAUUUAGAGGAAGAUACGGCUCGGCAGACGGCCCUGGCGCGGCUCAGACUUCAGCGUGUGCACGAGUCACGUGAUAAAUUCAAAACCUGAAAGAGAAAAGUAACGAAG
This 271-nucleotide long non-coding RNA is filed under the name Fukomys damarensis (Damara mole-rat). RNAcentral describes it as "lncRNA (ENSFDAG00000025370.1)". The record is from RNAcentral. Lineage: Eukaryota; Metazoa; Chordata; Mammalia; Rodentia; Bathyergidae.